This 253-nucleotide ribosomal RNA is filed under the name uncultured bacterium. Its description in RNAcentral is "partial 16S ribosomal RNA". It matches the Rfam family "Bacterial small subunit ribosomal RNA", at positions 524 to 776 of the family's 1533-position model. The record is from RNAcentral.
UACAGAGGUGGCAAGCGUUAUUCGGUAUCACUGGGCUUAAAGGGCGCGUAGGCGGCGCAGUACGGUCUGGGUGAAAUCCCUCGGCUCAACCGAGGAAUUGCCUGGGCAACGGCUGUGCUAGACAGCAUCAGGGGAAGGUGGAACUCGCGGUGGAGCGGUGAAAUGCGUAGAUAUCGCGAGGAACGCCGGUGGCGAAAGCGACCUUCUGGGGUGCUUGUGACGCUGAGGCGCGAAAGCUAGGGGAGCGAACGGG